Molecule: RNA transcript, 5555 nt
Organism: Mus musculus (house mouse)
Lineage: Eukaryota; Metazoa; Chordata; Mammalia; Rodentia; Muridae
Gene: Tle2
Gene name: transducin-like enhancer of split 2
Exons: 21
Source: RefSeq, marked validated
UUUUUUUUGCCUAAUUUCUCUCCCCCCGGUUUUUUUUUUUUUUUUGAGUGGGGGUGGGGCGGGAACACUAGGAUCGAACCCAAGCCUCAGUUUCCCCAGCGGGUCUUGGAACCGAAGAAGCAGAGCAGGCGGGGGCGGCGGUGCCACCUUAAGGCGGGUCCCGCCCGCGGCUCCCAGCCGAGCCCCGCGGAGGGAGGCGGCUCCGCAGCCACUGAGGCCACCAGCGCCGACCCCGGGCGGCGGCCACAGACCUGCGGCGCUGACUGCAGCUGCCCCUGGGUUGUACAACCCCGGACGCGCUGGCUGGAGGGGGGGCGCAGCGCGGGGUCCUGGUCCCCUGCCCCGACAGGCUCUCCCUGGCUGCUCUUUCUUUGCGUAAAAAUCCCUCCCCCAGCUCCGGCUUCUCUCCUAGCUUUUCCAGGCUCAGUCUCCUUGCACCCCAGCUCUAGCUUAGCACCCCAAAUUCUACUGCCUGCUCCUCCCCGCACCCAAUUCUCUCCCCAGCGCCACCUCUGCACCUCAGCGUCCCUUUGCCACAUCCUCAAGCCUCCAAGAAGCUGGGGGGGUCCAUUCUCUCACCCAUCCAUCAGCAGGAUGUACCCUCAGGGAAGGCACCCGACCCCGCUGCAGUCUGGCCAGCCUUUCAAGUUCUCAGUACUGGAAAUCUGUGACCGGAUCAAAGAGGAAUUCCAGUUUCUUCAAGCUCAGUACCACAGCCUCAAGCUAGAAUGUGAGAAGCUGGCCAGCGAGAAGACAGAAAUGCAAAGGCAUUAUGUGAUGGCUGCACCCCAUCAGUGUCCCCAGGGUGGCACCAGCUAUCCACACUGGCCAAGACUGUCUCCUUUGCAGUACUACGAGAUGUCCUACGGACUCAACAUUGAGAUGCAUAAACAGGCUGAGAUUGUGAAACGCCUCAGUGCGAUCUGUGCCCAGAUGGUCCCGUUCCUCACUCAGGAGCAUCAGCAGCAGGUGCUCCAGGCUGUGGACCGAGCCAAGCAGGUGACCGUGGGGGAACUGAACAGCCUCCUGGGGCAGCAGAAUCAGCUCCAGCCGCUGUCCCACGCACCCCCCGUGCCUCUCACCCCGCGCCCAGCCGGCCUGGUGGGUGCCGGGGCCACUGGGCUGCUGGCCCUAUCUGGGGCACUGGCUGCGCAGGCCCAGCUGGUGGCUGCCGUAAAGGAAGACCGUGUGGGUGUGGACGCCGAGGGGUCCAGAGUGGACAGAGCUGCCAGCAGGAGUUCUUCCCCGUCUCCCCCUGAGAGUCUGGUGGAAGAGGACCAUCCCAGCAGCCGAGGCGGCAGUGGGAAACAGCAGAGAGCUGAAGACAAGGAUCUGUCAGGGCCUUAUGACAGUGAGGAAGACAAGAGUGACUAUAACCUGGUAGUGGAUGAGGACCAACCGUCAGAGCCCCCCAGCCCUGUGACCACCCCUUGUGGGAAGGCGCCCCUCUGCAUUCCUGCCCGCAGGGACCUCACAGACAGUCCAGCCUCCUUGGCCUCCAGUUUGGGCUCACCACUCCCCAGAAGCAAAGACAUAGCCCUGAACGAUCUUCCCACAGGCACUCCUGCCUCCAGGUCAUGUGGUACCUCUCCACCCCAGGACUCGUCCACCCCGGGGCCCAGCUCAGCCAGUCACCUCUGCCAGCUGGCGGCUCAGCCGGCAGCACCCACAGACAGCAUCGCCCUGAGGAGUCCCCUGACCUUGUCCAGCCCUUUCACCUCAUCCUUCAGCCUGGGCUCCCACAGCACCCUCAAUGGGGACCUCUCCAUGCCUGGCUCCUAUGUCGGCCUCCACCUGUCCCCCCAGAUGGCAUUUGAAUCGCACCCCCAUCUCCGAGGCUCGUCUGUCUCCUUGCCUGGCAUCCCUGUGGCUAAGCCGGCUUACUCCUUCCACGUGUCUGCGGAUGGCCAGAUGCAGCCUGUGCCCUUCCCGUCUGAUGCUCUGGUAGGCACAGGCAUCCCUCGCCACGCAAGGCAGCUACACACGCUGGCCCACGGUGAGGUGGUGUGUGCCGUCACCAUCAGCAGCUCCACACAGCACGUGUACACAGGCGGCAAAGGAUGCGUGAAGGUGUGGGACGUGGGCCAGCCGGGUAGCAAGACCCCUGUGGCACAGCUGGAUUGCCUGAACCGAGACAACUACAUCCGCUCCUGCAAGCUGCUGCCCGACGGGCAGAGCCUGAUUGUAGGUGGCGAGGCCAGUACCCUGUCCAUUUGGGACCUGGCAGCACCCACACCACGGAUCAAAGCAGAGCUGACUUCGUCUGCCCCGGCCUGCUAUGCUCUGGCCGUCAGUCCGGACGCCAAGGUCUGCUUCUCCUGCUGCAGCGACGGUAACAUCGUGGUCUGGGACCUGCAGAACCAGGCCAUGGUCAGACAGUUCCAGGGCCACACGGACGGGGCCAGCUGCAUCGACAUAUCAGACUACGGGACCCGGCUGUGGACUGGGGGCCUGGACAACACUGUGCGCUGCUGGGACCUGCGCGAGGGCCGCCAGCUUCAGCAGCAUGACUUCAGUUCCCAGCUUGAGUACUGGGACGACAGCCUUCUCCACCAUUGUCCAGUAUGACAAAAGGCCCACGCCUGUGCAGCCACCCUUCCUGUGCACCUGGGACUGGAACAGAUGCUCCAGUGACACCUUGGCCAUCCGCAGGUCCCAGCAUCGCAGGCAGGCGUCCAGACCCCCUGUCCAGAUGUUGUCAUCUUUGACCACAAGGUUCCUGGCCGAAUUGGUAGGGCCUUUGAGGUUCCUGGCCAGAAAGCAAAGGGGUAAGCCUAGGCUCGACAGUCCCUAAGAUUCCCUCAAAGCCGUGGGACUAACCCAACCUGAGGUACUCUUAACACCUUUGGCAAGAAGGCAACAGUGACAUCAUCCUAGUCCCUGCCUCUAAAAGGUAAUGUUCCAAUACCUAUAAAUCCAGUACUGAGGAAGUUGAGGCAGGAGGAUUGCCAUGAGUUCCAGGCCAGGCUAGGGUACAUAGAGACCCUGCCUCAACAAUGAGGGUGAUGGAGAAGACCCAAAGCUGGCUGUGGUGACUCACAAUUGUCAUCCCAGCUACUCGGGAUUAAGAGAGGAUGAUUGCGAGUUAGAGCCAUCCUAGGCUUCAGAGCAAGUUCAGCAUCAUCCCUGAAAACGUCACCUGAUCCGACCUUAAGAUAAAAUCUGAGCAGGGCUUGGCAGCACAAGCCUGUCAUCCCAGCACUCUGGAGGCAGAGGCAGGUGGAUCACUGAGUUCCAAGGCUAGCCUGGUCUACAGAGUGAGACCCUAUGCCAGAUAAAAUGAAUAAAAGUAAAAGUGUUGACCAGAUGGCUCCCAGGUCACUCAGUGGGUAGAGGAGAGCCGAGUUCCAAGAACCCACUUAGUGGAAGAACAGGCUCCUGCAGGUUGUCCUGAGCCUCUGUUCUCCCUUGUCCUACAAGAAUUACAAUGAGCUGGGCAGUGGUGGCACACGCCUUUAAUCCCAGCACUUGGGAGGCAGAGGCAGGUGGAUCCAGGCCAGCCUGGUCUACAGAGUGAGUUUCAGGACAGCCAGGGCUGCACAGAGAGAAACCCUGUCUCGAAAAACAAAACAAAACAAAGCCCACGAAAAACAAGAUUUACGAAUAAGCCAGGCACACACAGCACUUGGAAGGUGAAGGCAGGAAGAUAAGGAGAGUUUAAGGUUCUCCUCCUCUGUGCUUGAGGACAACCUGGGCUACAUGAGACACUUACCCUAACCUAAAGGUAAACAAGCAGGCUGUGGGCGUGGUCAGGGAUAGGGUAGAGUCCCACCCAGAAUCCCCUAGUGAGGGGACUAGGGUGUGGCUCCACUCUGGGGGAGUGGGGUUUGGGUAAGAGCUCAGAACUCGUAGUCCGCAGCUCACAGUGCUCCUGUCCCUGUGUCUGCACCUGACUAUUUCCUGAGUCCGUAGGUCCCAUAUCCUGACCGUGCCAUCUGUGAAGCCGGCAAGGGCCAUGUUUUCCUUUGUGUUGGCCAGUGCCUGGCAGGACAGGCCCUCGCAGGGCAGCUGGCACUUCUCAUACAGGGAUGGGGCUGCCAGGUCCCACACGAUCACGCCAGGUAAGUUGUAUCCACCCGCGAACAGGGUCCUGCUGUUGGAGGACAGCAGGCAGGUGCGCAGGUACACCUUGUUGUCCUGCAGAGGAUCGUCCCGGCGAGUGAGGGUCAGUCGUGGCUCUUCCAGCACCUCCCAUCCCCAACCCCGUCCCUGCCCCGUCACCUGGACGCUGCAUUUCAAGUGGCUUUCUGGGUCUCUGUCCUCGGCCACCUGGUUCACGAGGUUCCACACCUUGAUGCCGCUCUGGCUGCAGGUGAAGACGUGCCGCGUGAAGGAGCUCACAGCUACCACCAAUAGCAGUUCCUGGUGCUUCAGCACACGCACCUUCUGCAGUGCUUGGGGGACAGUGAACCUCUCUAAUUGCCAGAGUGCUGUGCUAGGCUGAUUACAGCUGCUCUCUAAGACUUCAGAGCCCCAGGACCUAGGGAUAUGGGACACAGAGUGAAGUUUUCAAGACAGGGUCUUAGUCCAGGUUGGCCUUGAACUCUGUAUGGAGCAAAGGCUGACCUUGAAUUCCUAAUGCUCCUGCCUCUACCUCAUGAGCGCUAGGAGCCAGGCUCCAGUCACAUUCUUCAGUUCUUGCCACAGCCACACAUGCGUCCCUACUCUAAAACGCUUUGCUCAAGUCGACUGAGCUCCUGUGCACCCUUAUAGACCUAAUUAUUACAGCCCCUUCUCCAAGACAUCGUUCUCCAACUACAAGACUGAGAAUCUAGGUUGAGAUUUAAGUGAGACGUUCCUUCUUUAACCCUUUACAAGUUGUUCUUAUAUUUACUCAUUAAUGGGGUGUGGGGGGGUGGAGGGUAGAGAGGAGGCAGUACAACCUGCGGGAGUCAUUUUUCACUUUCAACUGUGUAGGUCCCAGGGAUCAAACCCAGGCCUAGGCUUGGGAGCAGGCACCUUUACCUGCUGAGCCCUCUCACAAGCCCCUCCAUCUUCCACCACCAGUUAAGGACAUGGAAAAGGGACAGAGACAGGGAGGCGGGGUGGGGGAGACAAGGGUGAGGUAACCCCGCUUUCUCCCUGCAGAGGCCAACACUCACAAGGGCUUCAGAAAUUUAUCAGCUCUUCCAGAAGAUUCCUGUGGUACAAAGAAAGAAGCUGACGCUGCUGGCUUGUGACCUCCCCUCCAUAUCUGCAUCCAGGUCUCCCACUCACCUGCGUCUCAGGUUGGGGCCGACUGACGUCUUCUUGGAGGUCUGGGGUUCUACUGAAGCGCUCUAUCGCCUGGAAGAAGUUUUCUGCCUAGAACAAGUUAGGAUGGAGCCUUGCUGAGGGCACAGAUGUGGGGAAGGGGAGCCUGUGCCAAAGCUUGGCACUAGGCACAGCUGGUUCUUUGGGGACAAGGAUCCGUCCUGCAGAUGUGGGGCCCUGAGAGAAACCCUCACCUGCUGAACUCCUCCGGAAGCUGGUUCACGAUGGACAAAUACCGACUGGAUAAGGUGGAAGGCUGGAAAGGUCAAAGGUCAAAACUAUAAAGCCUGCAUCUCCCUGAA